GGAAGGUCCGGGCGUUAUCCGGAUUUAUUGGGUUUAAAGGGAGCGUAGGCUGGUUUUCAAGUCAGCUGUGAAAUACGGUGGCUCAACCAUCGGGCUGCAGUUGAAACUGGUUUUCUUGAGUUCGCACAGGGAUGCCGGAAUUCAUGGUGUAGCGGUGAAAUGCUCAGAUAUCAUGAAGAACUCCGAUCGCGAAGGCAGGCAUCCGGAGCGCGACUGACGCUGAGGCUCGAAAGUGCGGGUAUC
Molecule: ribosomal RNA, 243 nt
Filed under: uncultured bacterium
Lineage: Bacteria
Description: partial 16S ribosomal RNA
Rfam family: Bacterial small subunit ribosomal RNA
Source: RNAcentral